RNAcentral lists this long non-coding RNA (949 nucleotides) under Dermacentor andersoni. RNAcentral's name for it is "uncharacterized LOC126529925". The record is from RNAcentral. Lineage: Eukaryota; Metazoa; Arthropoda; Arachnida; Ixodida; Ixodidae.
UGAGUCUUUUACAUGUAUCCAUAAACUGCAGAUAUGCACAUCAGAUCCCUGCGAGCAUUUUCAAAAUUAAAUUAUUUUAGACAACAGGCACAUAUGCAAUACUGACAUAAUCUCAAAUACCACUAAGCAGCUGGGACACAUUUUUGUUGCCCAUACUCGCAGGUAAAAUAAGUACAUCGUGUGGACAGCUCCAGCUCAUUUUCCUUUAAUCAGUGUGUACAAGGGGUAUGCAAAAAUAAUUUUUUUCUCGCGCACCGAUUAUUUUGCUGUAUAAGCAAGAGAACCCACCACGUUAGUGUAACGUAUCUUGUACAUCACACUAAUAUGUGCUUUAAUUUACCAAGUGAGAUGAGUUACCUUUAUGGCUCAUUCAGUCAUAUCACGCUGCAAGCUGCAUUCAUCAAUCUUCAAUUGGAUUUUGCAAAUGUUUAAUGAAACAUGUUUCCCUUCUAUGCAGAUAUGCAAUGGCAAGCCCUUCCGUGUGUUCCAAAGACAAUGCCUACGCCUAGCCACAGCAGCUCCCUCAUACAGACUCCGCAAGCCAAGAGGCCGUGGAGGCAAAUGCAGGCAGCCAGCACACCUCGAACAGCCACCUUGACUGCGGGUGUGUCACCCUAGUCGCCAAGGAAACAUUUGAGGGAAAGCGACAGGCAAUGUGAACAGCCACUUCUCCAUGCAAACGAUACUCUUUCUCUCGGAUGACUCCUACGCCUCGCCACGCCAGCACUCUUGUGCACAAAGAUGCCGCGGAGGCACGUGCAGGUCAGAGGCAAGAAUCAGUGGCACUGGUGUCGACAUUCACCUAAUUUCUUUUUCUUACACUGAGGCAGUCAGCACACCUCGAACAGCCACCUUGACUGCGGGUGUGUCAGUAGAUUCCUGUUGUACAUAUGCUCAUAAUAAACUUUAGUAAACUUGAACUUGAUAAUAAACUUGAUGGCAAAUGGGA